GACGAACGCUGGCGGCGUGCUUAACACAUGCAAGUCGAACGGAAAGGCCCUGCUUUUGUGGGGUGCUCGAGUGGCGAACGGGUGAGUAACACGUGAGUAACCUGCCCUUGACUUUGGGAUAACUUCAGGAAACUGGGGCUAAUACCCGAUAGGAGCUCCUGCUGCAUGGUGGGGGUUGGAAAGUUUCGGCGGUUGGGGAUGGACUCGCGGCUUAUCAGCUUGUUGGUGGGGUAGUGGCUUACCAAGGCUUUGACGGGUAGCCGGCCUGAGAGGGUGACCGGCCCCAUUGGGACUGAGAUACGGCCCAGACUCCUACGGGAGGCAGAAGUGGGGAAUAUUGCACAAUGGGCGGAAGCCUGAUGCAGCAACGCCGCGUGCGGGAUGACGGCCUUCGGGUUGUAAACCGCUUUCGCCCGUGACGAAGCGUGAGUGACGGUAAUGGGUAAAGAAGCACCGGCUAACUACGUG
RNAcentral lists this ribosomal RNA (468 nucleotides) under uncultured bacterium. Its description in RNAcentral is "partial 16S ribosomal RNA". It matches the Rfam family "Bacterial small subunit ribosomal RNA", at positions 28 to 507 of the family's 1533-position model. The record is from RNAcentral.